Long non-coding RNA from Micropterus salmoides (largemouth bass), 3322 nucleotides. RefSeq lists it as uncharacterized. The record is from RefSeq and is a predicted model, not a curated record. The transcript has 4 exons. Lineage: Eukaryota; Metazoa; Chordata; Actinopteri; Centrarchiformes; Centrarchidae.
CAUUAUAUUCUCCCCUCACUAUGGCAAUCAUGUCAUUGCUCAGCAGCUCAAACACGUCCAGACCAACCACUUCCCUACAUGAACGCAUCUAUCAUUAGCUGUGAUCUUAUCCUUCCUAAAAAUAAAGCCCACCCUCCCAAUUUUUCUUCCUGUAAUUUGCUGAUAUGGAAAUCAGCAUCACCCCGUUUGGACUCUGACGCAUGCAAUUCUCAGAGGAUCUGAUUCCUCGGGCUGAGAUUAGUGCGUCAACACGAGGUCUGUGGCUGUCUGGGUGUUUGUUGCUGUUCGCGGGUAUCUUGUCUAUGUGUCUCACUGUAUACUGCCCUUUAACUGUAAAGGCAGGCUGUUUGAGGCGAGGAAAGAGUGAUCUGUGCGUAAAAUGCAUUUCUGGCAUCAGAAUGUGUCAGAAACUUGCAGACUUAUUAGUGAGUGAUCUGACCGUCUGUUUUGUAGUGAGGUGCUUGAACCAUGUGAUAAAUAAUUAAAGGGACUUCCGAGGCCAUCUAAUACCACGUUGUUCAUUUGAUCACUCCAGGGAAAUAUAGGGGAAGUUCAAGAUGUUGAGUUGACUUCUUCCUUCUCCAUUUCUACUGGCUGGCAUGUUCUGACCCAUUUCAUGCUGAGAGGAGACAAAGACUCUGGCGGACUGGGGGUCGAGGUGACACACACACACACACACACACACACACACACACACACACACACACACACAAGUACACCGUGCUGUUCUUCCUUCCUGACAAGACAGCGGUGUCUAUCCCUGAUCCAGACCAGGCGGCGCUUCAACAUUGAGUCACCUUGACACAUAACUACUAGAUCAUUAAAUACUUGAGUAAAGUCCCUGCGAGCUGUAAAUUUCUACACUGCAAUCACAUAGUUGAAUAAUUUAAUCAUUUACUGUGUGUGGUGAUUAACAUGUAGUUUGCAACUAUUAAGAUAUAGUAGACUUUCUCUCUGAAUGAAGUGUGGGCCUGAAGGUUAUGGCCAAGAGCACUUUAAAAGCAAAAAUACAUCAUGUUAAGUUUGACAGUUUGCUUCCGUUUUAUGACUGACUUGAAUGUGUUUCAUACCAUUUGUUGUUUUGUAUUUUUUGUCCUUCCUAGUUACUAGUUUUAUAACAAAAUAAAACUGCCCUGACAGUUAAUUUGUGAACAGUGCUAUUAUAUGUAACAAAUCUGAGCUCUGAAAUGGCUCAGGUGGAAGAAUGAAAAUGAUUCUUCCAAGAAUCAUGAGCAGUGAGCUUCAGUAUUUUUUUACAGUGAAGCAGUUGUGUUUGUUGUACCAUCACUUGACUAUAUGCUCUAUCAUUUAAUGUUAUUCACCAGACAAUCCUUGGCUGUGCAGACACUCUAAAAAUAAUUAUACUGUCAACAGACACACAGCUUCUGCCAGUGUCAAGACACCGGCUGUUAAAUGCUACUUUGAUGUAUAAAUAUCAAAAAACAGUGAAUGCCAUGGCCAGUUGAGUUACAAAUAGAAACAAUGAUCCACAGUGUGCUAAAAUAACACUAUUUGCGUUAGCUAAACCAGUGACAAUUCUGAACUGUCAACAAUACUUACAAUACUGAUUUACAGCGUCCACUAUUGUUCAUGUGCAACAACGGCAUCAAAUGCUUUCCUCUCCAUCUGCACUCUGAAAAUACUCCUGUAAUCCAGGCUGUAAAUAUUUUUAAUGUAUGUGACUCAUACUGACGUUUGUCCUCAGGAGCCAACCUCAGAUCUUCAUGCAAGUUUAAAAUUCUUCUUUAAGACUCCAAGUUUGGCAGGCUGCAGAAAACAGGGGGAAAAAAUAUUAAUGGUUUCUCACCUAACAAGCGCCUUGACGGUGGAGCGCACCACACUGGAGAGCAGGAAGAGGGGGGUGACCAGGAUGUGAAAGAGGGACAGAGAGGCAAAGGCCACAGCUGGGGACAGAUCAGCGUCCUCGGAGAUGUGAACAUGAACCACAAACGUCUGCCAGAUGACAGGGAGGACAGAAUGGCCAGAAUGAAAGAUGAGUCAUGUUUCCACCUGUCCUUGGCUGCUUUCCCACCACCCACCACCUUUGGCAAGCAUGCCGGAUUCUGAAAUCCCCAGGACACACAGAACCAGAAGGAGAUGGAUGUGACACUCACUCACUCGCCCUCUCCUUCAUCUGUCACAGGAUAAUAUGUGCUACUGGAGACAAGAGGGAUGACAGCAUGAUUUGUUUUUAUUUCCUUUGUAAUAAUACCUUUUUACAGUGGCUGCCUCUUAGUAGUGAGUCAUAUGUAACCCUGGCUUUUGGCAUGGCAAUGUUGCGGAGCCACCAAUCCCACACAGUUUCUUUCAGCUUCUCACAUGAAUCACACCUGAAGUGUGUGUUGUUUUUAAAAAGCUCCAUGCUGCUUACAGUUACAUACAGUACAGUCACUCCCGCUAAUUCGCCAGACUGCUUCCUAACUGCGAUAUUUCCCUCAGCACCUCAAGAAACACUGCGACUGACCUUUUGGGAGGUCUAACAGGACUAUGCGUCUACAACCAUGCUAGCGGCUAUAUUUGGAGUGAUGGUUUGAAUUAAAAAUUAACAUCAGCUUGCUGACAUUUUCACAGUGACAAUGCUGACAUGAUAAUGUUUAGCUGAUAUUAUGUCUAUGUACACCAUCUUGGUUUAGCACAAAGCUGAGGCUGAUGGUGAUGUCAUUAGGUUUACAGGUAGUGAUAAUUUAAAAAAGAAAUCAAAAGUAAUUAAGAUUCAUCCAUUGGAAACUGUGAAUGUCUGUACAAAAUUCUGUGCUAAUCUAUCUUGUAGAUGUCGAUAUAUUUUACAGGAUAAGUAAAUACUAAUUGACAGACUGGUGGUGCUCCUGCCUAUAAAAAGUCAGGGGAUCACAAAAGAGAUUGCAGUUCAUUCUGAGGGGAACAAGAAUAUCUCUACUAAAUUUCAUGGUAACCUGUCAAAUAGCUGUUGAGAUUUUCCAGUCUGGACCAAAGUGGUGAGAUUGGACCAAAACUGCCAUCGCUAGAGCCAUACUCCUAGCAUGAUUAAAAACAGGAUAGGCACAACAGUCUUCUCUCUAGAUACAUACCAAUAUGCAUUUUUCUGUAUUUGGAGAUUAUCUCACGUGAAAGCAAUUCAAUAAGCAGCGUCAAACCAUUUAUUUUCUGAUUAACUGCAAACGCUUUGAAUUUAAUGAACAUUAAAGAUGACAUGGAAAUUAGAGAAAUAGAAAACACUGAGCAAAAGAGUCAUGUGUUUUGUUUACACAGUACAUGAGCAAUAUUAGCUGGCAGCUCAAGUCUACCGAGCCUCUGAUCGAUACACCUUUUUUCACAGCACACCUUCUGGCUUAUCUUAACAGGU